AAGGAUCAUUACCGAGUUAGGGUCUUACAUGGCCCAACCUCCAACCCUUUGUGUACAUUGAAUUGUUGCUUCGGCAGGCCAAUGCUCCUGCCGGAGCCCAAAUCAAAAACAUAUUUUAUGGUGUCGUCUGAGUUAAACAUCAAAUCAUUAAAACUUUCAACAACGGAUCUCUUGGUUCCC
This 180-nucleotide unclassified non-coding RNA is filed under the name uncultured fungus. RNAcentral's name for it is "partial contains 18S rRNA, ITS1, 5.8S rRNA, ITS2 and 28S rRNA". Lineage: Eukaryota; Fungi. The record is from RNAcentral.